RNAcentral lists this ribosomal RNA (1482 nucleotides) under Neolygus juglandis. RNAcentral's name for it is "SSU rRNA". It matches the Rfam family "Eukaryotic small subunit ribosomal RNA", at positions 174 to 1570 of the family's 1831-position model. Lineage: Eukaryota; Metazoa; Arthropoda; Insecta; Hemiptera; Miridae. The record is from RNAcentral.
CGACCAGUCUGACUGGGAAGGACGCUUUUAUUAGAUCAAGACCAAUCGCCCGGCUCGUUCGGGCGUUGCCUUGGUGACUCUAGGUAACACAUCAGAUCGCACGGUCCUCGCACCGGCGACUUAUCCUUCAAAUGCCUGACUUAUCAACUGUCGAUGGUAGACUCUAUGUCUACCAUGGUUGUAACGGGUAACGGGGAAUCAGGGUUCGAUUCCGGAGAGGGAGCCUGAGAAACGGCUACCACAUCCAAGGAAGGCAGCAGGCACGCAAAUUACCCACUCCCGGCACGGGGAGGUAGUGACAAAAAAUAACGAUACGGGACUCUUAUGAGGCCCCGUAAUCGGAAUGAGUACACUUUAAAUCCUUUAACAAGGAUCCAUUGAAGGGCAAGUCUGGUGCCAGCAGCCGCGGUAAUUCCAGCUUCAAUAGCGUAUAUUAAAGUUGUUGCGGUUAAAAAGCUCGUAGUUGGUUCUGCGUGCCACGCUGUCGGUUCGCCGCCUGCCGGUGUAACUGGCAUGCCGUGGCAUGUCCUGUCGGUGGCGUUCGGGAGCCUCGCCUAGGUGCCGGCCCUUGCCAAAAGCUUGGUGCUCGGAGGCCGGGGGGUAUACCCGUUCGCCUACUCUAUCCUACCUAGGUGCUCUUCACCGAGUGGCCAAGGUAGGCCGACACGUUUACUUUGAACAAAUUAGAGUGCUCAAAGCAGGCUGAAAUCUCUGCCUGAAUAGUGGUGCAUGGAAUAAUAAAACAGGACCUUGGUUCUAUUUUGUUGGUUCUUAGGAACACAAGGUAAUGAUCAAUACGGACAGGCGGGGGCAUUCGUAUUGCGACGUUAGAGGUGAAAUUCUUGGAUCGUCGCAAGACGCACAAGAGCGAAAGCAUUUGCCAAGUAUGUCUUGAUUGAUCAAGAACGAAAGUUAGAGGUUCGAAGGCGAUCAGAUACCGCCCUAGUUCUAACCAUAAACGAUGCCAGCCAGCGAUCCGCCGAUGUUCCUCCGAUGACUCGGCGGGGAGCUUCUUCCCGGGAAACCAAAGCUUUUGGGUUCCGGGGGAAGUAUGGUUGCAAAGCUGAAACUUAAAGGAAUUGACGGAAGGGCACCACCAGGAGUGGAGCCUGCGGCUUAAUUUGACUCAACACGGGAAACCUCACCAGGCCAGGACAUUGGAAGGAUUGACAGAUUGAUAGCUCUUUCUUGAUUCAGUGGGUAGUGGUGCAUGGCCGUUCUUAGUUGGUGGAUCGAUUUGUCUGGUUAAUUCCGAUAACGAACGAGACUCUAGCCUAUUAACUAGGCGUUUUCCGGUGCCCCCGUCACCGGCGACAAUCAUUCUUCUUAAGGGGACAGGCGGCUUUUAGCCGCACGAGAUUGAGCAAUAACAGGUCUGUGAUGCCCUUAGAUGUCCUGGGCCGCACGCGCGCUACACUGAAGGAAUCAGCGUGUGCCUCCCUGGCCGAAAGGCCCGGGUAAUCCGCUGAACCUCCUGCGUGC